This 616-nucleotide ribosomal RNA is filed under the name uncultured fungus. Its description in RNAcentral is "eukaryotic LSU rRNA". The stretch from base 242 to 395 matches the Rfam family "5.8S ribosomal RNA". Lineage: Eukaryota; Fungi. The record is from RNAcentral.
AGUAAAAGUCGUAACAAGGUCUCCGUUGGUGAACCAGCGGAGGGAUCAUUACAGAGUUAUCUAACUCCCAAACCCAUGCGAACUUACCUAUGUUGCCUCGGCGGAGAAGCCUACCCGGUACCUACCCUGUAGGGACCCGGGAGCGAGCUACCCUGUAGCCCGCUGCUGGCUGACCCGCCGGUGGACAGCCAAACUCUUGUUUUACAGUGAAACUUCUGAUAUUUUAUACUUAAUAAGUUAAAACUUUCAACAACGGAUCUCUUGGUUCUGGCAUCGAUGAAGAACGCAGCGAAAUGCGAUAAGUAAUGUGAAUUGCAGAAUUCAGUGAAUCAUCGAAUCUUUGAACGCACAUUGCGCCCAUUAGUAUUCUAGUGGGCAUGCCUGUUCGAGCGUCAUUUCGACCAUCAAGCCUCAGUUGCUUGGUUUUGGGAGCCUACCUCUGGGUAGCUCCUCAAAUGGAGUGGCGGAGUCGUGCCGACCCCAGGCGUAGUAAUCUUUUCUCGCUUCAGGUGCCGGUGCUGACGUCCUGCCGUUAAACCCCCCUAUUUUUUAACAGGUUUGACCUCGGAUCAGGUAGGAAUACCCGCUGAACUUAAGCAUAUCAAUAAGCGGAGGA